CUUCUUCGAUCUGCUGCGGGCAGAUGAAGUGGAUGUGGGUGUCGAUGCCGCCGGCGGUGAGGAUCAUGCCUUCGCCAGCGAUCACUUCGGUGCUGGCGCCGAUGGCGAUGGUCACGUCAGGCUGGAUGUCGGGGUUGCCGGCCUUGCCAAUGGCCGCGAUGCGCCCGUCCUUGAGGCCGACGUCGGCCUUGACGAUCCCCCAGUGAUCGAUGAUCAGGGCAUUGGUGAUCAACGUGUCGACCACGUCGGCGGCCAGCAACUGGCCCUGGCCCAUGCCAUCGCGGAUG
RNAcentral lists this small RNA (287 nucleotides) under Pseudomonas rhizosphaerae. RNAcentral describes it as "5' ureB small RNA". It matches the Rfam family "5' ureB small RNA". The record is from Rfam by way of RNAcentral. Lineage: Bacteria; Pseudomonadati; Pseudomonadota; Gammaproteobacteria; Pseudomonadales; Pseudomonadaceae.